Molecule: ribosomal RNA, 1695 nt
Filed under: Shigella boydii
Lineage: Bacteria; Pseudomonadati; Pseudomonadota; Gammaproteobacteria; Enterobacterales; Enterobacteriaceae
Description: partial 23S ribosomal RNA
Rfam family: Bacterial large subunit ribosomal RNA
Source: RNAcentral
GUAUGCUGGAGGUAUCAGAAGUGCGAAUGCUGACAUAAGUAACGAUAAAGCGGGUGAAAAGCCCGCUCGCCGGAAGACCAAGGGUUCCUGUCCAACGUUAAUCGGGGCAGGGUGAGUCGACCCCUAAGGCGAGGCCGAAAGGCGUAGUCGAUGGGAAACAGGUUAAUAUUCCUGUACUUGGUGUUACUGCGAAGGGGGGACGGAGAAGGCUAUGUUGGCCGGGCGACGGUUGUCCCGGUUUAAGCGUGUAGGCUGGUUUUCCAGGCAAAUCCGGAAAACUAAGGCUGAGGCGUGAUGACGAGGCACUACGGUGCUGAAGCAACAAAUGCCCUGCUUCCAGGAAAAGCCUCUAAGCAUCAGGUAACAUCAAAUCGUACCCCAAACCGACACAGGUGGUCAGGUAGAGAAUACCAAGGCGCUUGAGAGAACUCGGGUGAAGGAACUAGGCAAAAUGGUGCCGUAACUUCGGGAGAAGGCACGCUGAUAUGUAGGUGAAGUCCCUCGCGGAUGGAGCUGAAAUCAGUCGAAGAUACCAGCUGGCUGCAACUGUUUAUUAAAAACACAGCACUGUGCAAACACGAAAGUGGACGUAUACGGUGUGACGCCUGCCCGGUGCCGGAAGGUUAAUUGAUGGGGUCAGCGCAAGCGAAGCUCUUGAUCGAAGCCCCGGUAAACGGCGGCCGUAACUAUAACGGUCCUAAGGUAGCGAAAUUCCUUGUCGGGUAAGUUCCGACCUGCACGAAUGGCGUAAUGAUGGCCAGGCUGUCUCCACCCGAGACUCAGUGAAAUUGAACUCGCUGUGAAGAUGCAGUGUACCCGCGGCAAGACGGAAAGACCCCGUGAACCUUUACUAUAGCUUGACACUGAACAUUGAGCCUUGAUGUGUAGGAUAGGUGGGAGGCUUUGAAGUGUGGACGCCAGUCUGCAUGGAGCCGACCUUGAAAUACCACCCUUUAAUGUUUGAUGUUCUAACGUUGACCCGUAAUCCGGGUUGCGGACAGUGUCUGGUGGGUAGUUUGACUGGGGCGGUCUCCUCCUAAAGAGUAACGGAGGAGCACGAAGGUUGGCUAAUCCUGGUCGGACAUCAGGAGGUUAGUGCAAUGGCAUAAGCCAGCUUGACUGCGAGCGUGACGGCGCGAGCAGGUGCGAAAGCAGGUCAUAGUGAUCCGGUGGUUCUGAAUGGAAGGGCCAUCGCUCAACGGAUAAAAGGUACUCCGGGGAUAACAGGCUGAUACCGCCCAAGAGUUCAUAUCGACGGCGGUGUUUGGCACCUCGAUGUCGGCUCAUCACAUCCUGGGGCUGAAGUAGGUCCCAAGGGUAUGGCUGUUCGCCAUUUAAAGUGGUACGCGAGCUGGGUUUAGAACGUCGUGAGACAGUUCGGUCCCUAUCUGCCGUGGGCGCUGGAGAACUGAGGGGGGCUGCUCCUAGUACGAGAGGACCGGAGUGGACGCAUCACUGGUGUUCGGGUUGUCAUGCCAAUGGCACUGCCCGGUAGCUAAAUGCGGAAGAGAUAAGUGCUGAAAGCAUCUAAGCACGAAACUUGCCCCGAGAUGAGUUCUCCCUGACUCCUUGAGAGUCCUGAAGGAACGUUGAAGACGACGACGUUGAUAGGCCGGGUGUGUAAGCGCAGCGAUGCGUUGAGCUAACCGGUACUAAUGAACCGUGAGGCUUAACCUUACAACGCCGAAGGUGUUU